Chinchilla lanigera (long-tailed chinchilla) is the source of this 1109-nucleotide long non-coding RNA. RefSeq lists it as uncharacterized. The record is from RefSeq and is a predicted model, not a curated record. Lineage: Eukaryota; Metazoa; Chordata; Mammalia; Rodentia; Chinchillidae. The transcript is spliced from 2 exons.
UCAAAAAGACACAAAAAAAGAUUUGACUAAAGAAAUCAGCUCACUUGAUAAAAUUUCAACAAAUUCUGCAGCAAUGAAUGGAGACUCAACACAGAGCUCGCACAUUGUGUAUUCUACCCCAUAGACUUGGUGCUGGUAAAAUCUUCCUUGUCUGCUUCCUUAGGGCCAACUUGGGAGGGGCUGUAUAUACACACAUGAGUGAUCCUCAGAUCACAACUCACAGAAGCUGGCUUGAAUACUGGCUAUACCAUUCCCAACUCAAGCCCUGCGAGCCUGGGAUAUCUGUCUUGUGACCCACUGCCUUAAUAUUCCUAUCAGCUGGUAGAAGAUUUAAAUCUCUUACUCAGAAGAAAAAGUACAUCUCCAGAUACAAAACUUUGCCAUGCUGCCUCUGAUUGUUUUCAUGGCCACACGUGGCCAGUCAGGGAAGGGCAAUUCAAAUUCGUUUUUCGGUGCAGCAAGAAACAUGCUAGGUUUGAGGACUACUUUCCUUUUGCAGCGCCUCAGGGCUCCCCCGGUGGGCAUCCUUCCAGAGUGAUGAGCAGAAUAAGCUGGACGAUUUCAUUAAUCACGCAAAAGCCCUCCGGUGUUUCUCAGGUGGUGUGCAGAUCUAAGACUCAAGGUUACCCGUCCACCCGAUGUCUGUCAAGGGCCUUUAGACAGACCCUCUGGGGAGCAUCCCCGACUGCCGACUACUGCGUCUGCCCCAUCCAGCAGGAAGAAGCUAGAGCAGUCGUCACCCGUUUUCUCCUAACAGCAGUCAGGGACUCUUCGCCAGAGGGAAUUUGUAGUAAGCACGGCAGGCAGCUAGGGAUAAAGUAGACCCAAGAUGGCACUGCGGUGACCCAGGGGAGGUCAAAAUGAAGCCUUGAGACAGGCCUGAGAAGAACCAGGCCCCAGGAUGGAGACACAAGGGCCAUGGCUGAAUCUCUGUAGCCUCACCUAGCUGAACUGUUUUGUAACCUGGCAGACUGACCUUAGCCUGGUGCAGAGUGCUCUGAGAUGUGGUCUUGUUCUUGUAGAAAAACCGCUAGACAGAGUCCCCCAGCAACCCACCUUCCAACCCGUCCCAAUUAUAGGAGCUUUCUUCCAAUAAACCCUUUUUCCUA